CGCUAUCCCCAGAUGGAAAGAACAGAAAACUGAGAAGCAGAGGAGAGUGUGAAGUCAAAGCCCAUGGAGCACCGGACAAUAAAAGAUUAAAAGAAUAAACUGACCUGCUGAGACGGCUCUGUGGCAAAGACACUGGCUAGCAAGCCUGGCGACCUGAGUUCAACCCCCAGGGUGGGCACAGAGAGCUGAUCCCGACCGGGUAUCAUGUCAUUCAAGCUGACCCCAGACUCAAGCUGACCCCUAUACAGGAGACCGUGACCUCCAACACCUGACCCUCCAGCCCCC
This is a long non-coding RNA of Mus pahari (shrew mouse), 285 nucleotides long. RefSeq lists it as uncharacterized. NCBI's taxonomy places the organism in Eukaryota, Metazoa, Chordata, Mammalia, Rodentia, Muridae. The record is from RefSeq and is a predicted model, not a curated record. The transcript is spliced from 3 exons.